GAUCAUGGCUCAGGAUGAACGCUGGCGGCGUGCUUAACACAUGCAAGUCGAGCGAAGCAAUCUAAGUGAAGUUUUCGGAUGGAUCUUGGAUUGACUGAGCGGCGGACGGGUGAGUAACGCGUGGAUAACCUGCCUCACACAGGGGGAUAACAGUUAGAAAUGACUGCUAAUGCCGCAUAAGCGCACAGUACCGCAUGGUACAGUGUGAAAAACUCCGGUGGUGUG
RNAcentral lists this ribosomal RNA (225 nucleotides) under uncultured bacterium. RNAcentral describes it as "partial 16S ribosomal RNA". It matches the Rfam family "Bacterial small subunit ribosomal RNA", at positions 15 to 222 of the family's 1533-position model. The record is from RNAcentral.